AAGUAUAUAAAGAAACUAUUACGGAUAUCUAGCUAUAUAUGAAAAAGAGUUUAUUUAAUUUGUGUAGGCGUAUUUAGCGUAACGUUUUUUUCUGAUAAAAAAAAACGCUAACCGUUAAACACGACAGAGCACAUGAACUUUUGGAAAAAUCCGAUAUAUAAACGAAGUGAAUUGAAAUAUCUUAUUAGCUUCAGGAAUAAAAAUCAAACGAGAUUCUAUGAUUAGUGUGAAUUAAAGUAGAAUAGCCUAAAAGUAAAAUGGAUUAAAAUCUGUUUGAAUAUAGGGGAACCUUCCUCUAAGGCUAAAUAUCAUAUAUAAGCGACAGUAAAAAGUACCGAAAGGGAAAGUUUUGAACUAGUAGUUUUAUAAGCAGCUCAAGUAAAAUUUAAAUAAAAAAUUAGAGCGUACCUUUUGCAUAAUGGGUCAGCAAGUUAAUAUUAGAUGCGAGAUAGCGUAAGCGCUUUUCCUAGAUAAACCGAUUAUUAAAUAAUGAAUUAGUAUCUAAAAUUAGACCCGAAGCCUGGUGAUCUUACCAUGAUCAGGGUUAUAAAAGCCCGAACGGGUUAUCGUUGUAAAGAUAUCCGAAGAAUUGUGGUAAGUUAGUGAAAGACAAUACUGACCAGGAUAGCUGGUUUUCCGCGAAACCUAUAUAAGUAGGUAAUUCAAAUAACAUCAUAGCAGGUACAGAAUUGUGAUCUCAGACAAAUAGUUUUCUUAGAAGACUUUUGUAUAUAUCGGGGGAUCGUGAAGAUUUUAUCGGUGAGAAUUUGCUCUCGGAAGGGCAAUGAUGAAUAUUGAAUAAUCGGACAUAGUACGAUAAGGUUGUAUGUCCAAAGGGAAACAGCCCAGAACAAGUGUUUAAGGUUCCAAAAUUAUUGUUAAGUGAAAUUAAGGAAGUUUUUUUCAAAUACAACCAGGAAAUAGGCUUAGAAGCGGCCAUUUUUUGAAGACCUCGUAACAGAGCACUGGUUCAAUUAACAAGUUAAAAGCACCGAAAAUUUAACGGAUCUAAACAAUAUACCGACACCUUGUCCAUAAGUAUUAAUAAAAUGACAUAUUGUAUUUAUGGGGUAGCGGAACGUUGGGCAAAUCUCAGAUGUAAUCUUUUUAAGAUUAUAUACCAUAGAUACUAUAGAACAGUAUGUAAGUUAGAUAACCCAAGUGAGAAUGCUGGCAUGAGUAACGAAAAAGGGACAAACAAUACGUGGAACUCGCGGACCGUCCCUCGCCUAAAGCUUAUGGUAUAUAUAUCAAGUAACGGCCUCUAAGUUUAUUGACCUGCCCUAAAGGACUAAACGAUGAGAAAAUCUUUUUAUAUAUCCGACAACCCACCUGAGUAGGUGGCGUUCUGGAAAAAGAUAUAUAAUUAUUAACCGUACCUAGACACUACCUCAAGUAAGCUAGUAGAGAAUACGAAGGCGUUUGAGCUAACAAUCAUUAAGGAACUCGGCAAAAUGACACCGUAACUUCGGGAUAAGGUGUGCCAUUCUUCCUGAAUAAUAUCAGGUUAAGAAUAGGAGGCAUAGAAUGGUGUUGUACGACUGUUUAAUUAAAACAAAGCACUUUGCGUAAGAUGAUAAAUCAAAGUAUUGAGUGUGAAUUCUGCCCAAUGUUGGCUGGUUAACGGAUUUUCUUAGCUGACUAAAAUAUGCUAGGUUUUGAAGGAACCCCCAAUCAAUGGCGGCCUUACCGAUGAGGGUCCUAAGGUAGCGGAAUACCUUGGCCGUUAAAUGCGGUCUUGCAUGAAUGAUUUAACGAUACAACAGCUGUCUCAAUGAUUGGCUCAGUGAAAUUGGAAUAACUGUGCAGAUACAGUUUACCUCUAGUUAGACGAGAAGACCCUAUGCAGCUUUACUGUUACUAGUUAUUGGAUAUGAUCAAACAAGUUGUAGUGUAUAAGGUAGUUGAUAAGAUACAAUUGAAACACCUUUAUUUAGUUUAUCAUAUCAGUAGAAUACCACGAAAGGUGUGAAUACAUCAGUGUUCACAAUUAGUAGGUAAAAUCUACAUUACUUAUCCAAAAAGGAAGAGGGGCAUCGACCAUAGGUCGGUGCCCGGGAAACAGUUGCUAGUAGACGGUUUAUGCGGGGCACAGAUCCCAUAAAAAGUACCUGGGUGUAUCCAAAGUUAAUUUUGUAAAUUUGCUUACUGUCGCAUCGCUUUUGCUUUGCGAUAGCUAGCAAUUAAACAUGUGUAGCCUUGCUAAGGCUUUCGUGGCAUAUUUUUGCCUGUCAUGUCUUAGCUUGUCAAGCGUGUUUUUUUAUUUUAGUUUGCUAUAUUUUAUCUCAUGAUAAUUUAUUCAGUUAUAUAUCUAUUAAGUUAGAUUUAUUAUAUUUAUUUUAAGUAAGAUUUUAACUAUAUGGAAAAUAGAUGUAAAUAAAACAUUAAUAUCAAAUUGUAAUGUUUUAACUUGUUUUAUUCUUUUUAAGGAAUAAAAUGAUUUUUAUAUUUACUUAUAAAGUUUAAUGGCUUAAUCUUGCUUUACUGUUUGACUUACACGUCUAUCAGUCGCGUAAGCGGGGCAUAUGAUCACAAGAUGCAGAAAGGAAAGGUCUUGGAUUUUUGAAAAAGCUACGCUAGGGAUAACAGGCUAAUUGCGCCAGAGAGUACAAAUUGAGUGCGCAGUUUGGCACCUCGAUGUCGGCUUAGCUCAUCCACAUGAAUGCAGGAAUCAUGAAGGGUACGACUGUUCGUCGAUUAAAGAGCUACACGAGCUGGGUUAAAUACGUCGUGAGACAGUAUGGUUUCUAUCUUCUAGAGGAAAUUAGAGUAAAAUAAGGAUAGCCCCUUCGUACGAAAGGAGUUGGGUAUAUUAACCCCUGGUUUACCUGUUGUUUAUGUAACCAAUAUUAACCGUUUUACCGUUUUACCGUUUUUCUUUGAAAAACGUUAAAACGUUAUACGCUAUACAGAACAACUACUUGUUUUGUAGGGAUAUUACUAUUACUCUCGUAUAUAUAAAUAGCAUAGGCACGGCAGGAAAGCUAUGUUAGUUAAAGAUAAGUGCUGAAUGCAUAUAGGCACGAAACUUACCUUAAGAUACUCUUAAAUAUACGUAGUAGAACACUACGAAUCUUAUUUAAUAAGCUUUAUUGCUUAUUAAAUAAUGCAUAGGCUUUAGCUUAAAGGAUUUUGAUGUCUUCAGGUAUAAAGUACUAAUUUUAUUAAAAACUAAAUAA
RNAcentral lists this ribosomal RNA (3179 nucleotides) under Sydowia polyspora. RNAcentral's name for it is "large subunit ribosomal RNA". It matches the Rfam family "Bacterial large subunit ribosomal RNA". Lineage: Eukaryota; Fungi; Ascomycota; Dothideomycetes; Dothideales; Dothioraceae. The record is from RNAcentral.